Long non-coding RNA from Brassica oleracea var. oleracea, 458 nucleotides. RefSeq lists it as uncharacterized. NCBI's taxonomy places the organism in Eukaryota, Viridiplantae, Streptophyta, Magnoliopsida, Brassicales, Brassicaceae. The record is from RefSeq and is a predicted model, not a curated record. The transcript is spliced from 3 exons.
CAAUAUUUCAUUCUUACUUUCAGACAAGCACAGAAAACACAAAUCAAACUGUGACCCUCCCUUUGAAGGAUGGUGAAAAAUCAGGCGUACGUUGAUUGAUGGUGGUUGUCACUCCAGAAACCUGUUCUUCUCCAUCUCUUCUAGAAGCCUAAGAGAUGGUACCUUUGUAAGCUGGCUGGCCAAAACCUUGUUCUCUUCUCUCAACAGCUUCUCCUGUUUAAACAACAUCACAACUCCAUCAGUUUUCAAACAUGUUCUGAAACAUCAAACGUCAUCGCAGUUCGGUGGUAAAUGACCGAUGGAAGGGAGAGUAAGAUUUGAUUAAUAAAUAAAUGUAGCCAAUAGUAACUCAGGAACUAAGACGAGACCAAUAUACAUAUCUACAGAGCUUAGCUUGGUCUAGUGAUCUGAAUCCUGUGGAAAAAAACUUCAGUGGCCAGGACAUCGAAUAAAAAACC